GAUUAGGUGGUCGAUAAUGUCGGUUGAUUGUAAAUCAUCUUAUAGAAUAUAAAAUUCUCUUAAUCA
RNAcentral lists this transfer RNA (66 nucleotides) under Systolederus spicupennis. RNAcentral's name for it is "tRNA-Tyr". The record is from RNAcentral. Lineage: Eukaryota; Metazoa; Arthropoda; Insecta; Orthoptera; Tetrigidae.